This 434-nucleotide ribosomal RNA is filed under the name uncultured Ruminococcus sp. Its description in RNAcentral is "partial 16S ribosomal RNA". It matches the Rfam family "Bacterial small subunit ribosomal RNA", at positions 341 to 792 of the family's 1533-position model. The record is from RNAcentral. Lineage: Bacteria; Bacillati; Bacillota; Clostridia; Eubacteriales; Oscillospiraceae.
ACGGAAGGCAGCAGUGGGGAGUAUUGCACAAUGGGGGAAACCCUGAUGCAGCGACGCCGCGUGAAGGAUGAAGUAUUUCGGUAUGUAAACUUCUAUCAGCAGGGAAGAAAAUGACGGUACCUGACUAAGAAGCCCCGGCUAACUACGUGCCAGCAGCCGCGGUAAUACGUAGGGGGCAAGCGUUAUCCGGAUUUACUGGGUGUAAAGGGAGCGUAGACGGUGAAGCAAGUCUGAUGUGAAAGGCCGGGGCUCAACCCCGGGACUGCAUUGGAAACUGUUUUACUAGAGUGCCGGAGAGGUAAGCGGAAUUCCUAGUGUAGCGGUGAAAUGCGUAGAUAUUAGGAGGAACACCAGUGGCGAAGGCGGCUUACUGGACGGUAACUGACGUUGAGGCUCGAAAGCGUGGGGAGCAAACAGGAUUAGAUACCCUGGUA